This 446-nucleotide ribosomal RNA is filed under the name uncultured bacterium. RNAcentral's name for it is "partial 16S ribosomal RNA". It matches the Rfam family "Bacterial small subunit ribosomal RNA", at positions 338 to 795 of the family's 1533-position model. The record is from RNAcentral.
CCUACGGGAGGCUGCAGUCGAGAAUCAUUCACAAUGGGGGAAACCCUGAUGGUGCGACGCCGCGUGGGGGAAUGAAGGUCUUCGGAUUGUAAACCCCUGUCAUGUGGGAGCAAAUUAAAAAGAAAGUACCACAAGAGGAAGAGACGGCUAACUCUGUGCAAGCAGCCGCGGUAAUACAGAGGUCUCAAGCGUUGUUCGGAAUCACUGGGCGUAAAGCGUGUGUAGGCUGUUUAGUAAGUCGUGUGUGAAAGGCGCGGGCUCAACCCGCGGACGGCAUAUGAUACUGCGAGACUAGAGUACUGGAGGGGCAGCCGGAAUUCUCGGUGUAGCAGUGAAAUGCGUAGAUAUCGAGAGGAACACUCGUGGCGAAGGCGGGUUCCUGGACAUUAACUGACGCUGAGGCACGAAGGCCAGGGGAGCGAAAGGGAUUAGAUACCCUUGUAGUC